AAAAAAAUAUUGCAUGGCACUAAUACGCUUCCACUUGCGUUUGAAAUUUAGAAUAACUCAAUAAAGCAGGCUUAAAAAUGGUAAUUCCAAAGAAAUCCUCUCUAUAUAGAUCCUUAAUCUCAUUGGCUGUCCCAAAAUAAAAUUUGUCAAGGUCAGUAAACAUGCCGAUAAAAAGUUGUGAUGUUGACAUACACGAAAAAUAACCGAUAUAUGGAUUGUUCUGUAUAUAUUUUUGGAUCAAUUUAAUUUUAUGUCUUUUGGAUAACUACAUUUUGUAAGUCCGUGUUAGACAUGUUAAUAAAAUAGCCGUUUUCCGACAGUUUGAGCCGAAAUCCGUGCGGGUGUGAAUCGCUCCCGAAGCUGCACCAUUACGGAGAUCCUAAGGAGUUGUAGCCCUCUCCAAAAAUAAAGGGGGAGGGCUACAUUAUUGCAGCUGAAUUGUAUUUUGUGCACGCUGAGUUAAUUGAUAAAUUGUACUCAGAUAAUUUUAAUAGGUUUCAAGUAUUUAUAAUUUAUUAGAGAUUUCAAGAGUAAUAUAUGAGAAAGUCAAUUUUUGUGUUUCUGAACAAAUUUUAAAAUCUAUCGUAAAUAGACCCUACGUUUUAUAUGCAGGAUACUGCCCUAUAUUGCCAUAAUGACUGUACGCUAUAAUAUAUGGUAAAAGUUAAACCUUUACAACUCAUGCGAGGUAAGAUUUGUUUGUUUUGUUUUCAUGUAUCUGAUGUCAUUGUUUGUUCUGCAUGUUUCAUGUUGUGGACAUACUAUUUUCUUUUAUGUUUGUUUUAUUUGCACUUUUGUUUCGCUUCAUUUACUUUCUUGAGAUUAAAUUGUACAUCAU
This is a long non-coding RNA of Saccostrea cuccullata (small rock oyster), 838 nucleotides long. RefSeq lists it as uncharacterized. The transcript has 2 exons. NCBI's taxonomy places the organism in Eukaryota, Metazoa, Mollusca, Bivalvia, Ostreida, Ostreidae. The record is from RefSeq and is a predicted model, not a curated record.